This 381-nucleotide ribosomal RNA is filed under the name uncultured archaeon. RNAcentral's name for it is "bacterial SSU rRNA". It matches the Rfam family "Archaeal small subunit ribosomal RNA", at positions 345 to 727 of the family's 1478-position model. The record is from RNAcentral.
AACCUUUACCAUGCACGCAAGUGUGAUAAGGGAAUCCCGAGUGCUCAUGCAUUGCAUGGGCUUUUGCCAAGAGUAAACACCUUGGCGAAUAAGUGGUGGGAAAGACUGGUGCCAGCCGCCGCGGUAACACCAGCGCCACAAGUGGUGACCAGUAUUAUUGGGCCUAAAGCGUCCGUAGCUGGCCGAGUAAAUCUUCUGUGAAAUCGUUCGGCUUAACCGAACGACGUGCAGGAGACACUGCUUGGCUAGGGACCGGGAGGAGCCAGAAGUAUUCCGUGGGGAGCGGUAAAAUGUUAUAAUCCUUGGAAGACUACCUGCGGCGAAGGCGUCUGGCUAGCACGGGUCCGACAGUGAGGGACGAAAGCUAGGGGAGCGAACCGG